AGAACGAACGCUGGCGGCAGGCCUAACACAUGCAAGUCGAACGCCCCGCAAGGGGAGUGGCGCACGGGUGAGUAACGCGUGGGAAUGUGCCCUUGGGUGCGGAACAACGUCGGGAAACUGACGCUAAUACCGCAUAAUAUCUACGGAUCAAAGAUUUAUCGCCCAAGGAUCAGCCCGCGUUGGAUUAGGUAGUUGGUGGGGUAAUGGCCUACCAAGCCUACGAUCCAUAGCUGGUCUUAGAGGAUGAUCAGCCACACUGGAACUGAGACACGGUCCAGACUCCUACGGGAGGCAGCAGUGAGGAAUCUGGACAAUGGGGAAACCCUGAUCCAGCCAUGCCGCGUGAGUGAUGAAGGCCUUCGGGUUGUAAAGCGUCUUUCAGUAUGUAGAAGUAUAAUGACGGUAGCAUCAAGAAGAAGCUACCGGACUAACCGUCCGUAGCCAGCAGCCGA
Molecule: ribosomal RNA, 452 nt
Filed under: uncultured soil bacterium
Lineage: Bacteria
Description: bacterial SSU rRNA
Rfam family: Bacterial small subunit ribosomal RNA
Source: RNAcentral